This is a long non-coding RNA of Pistacia vera, 468 nucleotides long. RefSeq lists it as uncharacterized. The record is from RefSeq and is a predicted model, not a curated record. NCBI's taxonomy places the organism in Eukaryota, Viridiplantae, Streptophyta, Magnoliopsida, Sapindales, Anacardiaceae. The transcript is spliced from 3 exons.
AAAUUGGUGUCAAAUGAUGUCGAUACACUUCAAGCGGAUCAGAAGUUGGAAAUCGGUGUCUUUUUUUACUGGGCUCUAGGCGACAGGUGGAUAUAAUGUGAUCUCAGGAAUUUUGGGAGAGGUACAGCAAGGAUCAUGAAGUGCAGAUACAUUGAAUUGCUUCUGAAUAUAUUUAUCCGGAUAGACACAAGAGAUAUGCAGCCGACUUGCCUUGGGAGAGAAAAGAGAACUGGUCUAUGACAUUGCUCAAUAUGGCCAAAAAAUGCCAGAGAGAUUCUUAGCUCAGCUAGCCGCAGGGAGCUUCUUGAAAUCUGGGUUUGCUAAAUUUCCAAUGAUAUAGCAUCUACAAAAGUUGGUUCUCAAACUCACCAAUUAAAAUUUGGUUGUAUUUGUUUCAAUUACUUAUUGUGCAUGCUGUUAGACUUUCAUUCUCCAAUAACAUCAAUUUAAAUUUUCUUCCAUCUCCUA